Molecule: long non-coding RNA, 2801 nt
Filed under: Rhagoletis pomonella (apple maggot)
Lineage: Eukaryota; Metazoa; Arthropoda; Insecta; Diptera; Tephritidae
Description: uncharacterized LOC118748742
Source: RNAcentral
UAGCCAUCUCAGUCGCACACGCAGUGUAAACAAAAACGUGGAACCAGUUUUUCAGUGUUGCCUUUAACAAACCCCACCAUUCACAUACACUUGUGUGAAAAAGUAGUGAAAAUUAGCGGCGAAUGCUGUCCGGAUAUACAAACACUCAUACAUUCAUAAACAACUGGGCGAAAAAUGCAGCCAGCAGUUGCUCUGAGCAAAAGAGUUUCGAAGCGGUCGCCGUCGUGUACGUACGUAAAUGCGUGAGUGGGCGCGUGUCGCAGAGCGCUAGUGAAGAUUAAAGAAAAAUAAAAAUAAAUGAAAUAGUGAAAAACAAUAACAAGCAUAUUGUAGACAAACCGAGCAAAGUGUAAAAAUAUUUUUAAAUAAAUAAAUGAAACACGAGUAUUGCAAUGAAAUACGCUGCUGCUGUAUAAAAGCAUAAAAUGUGUGGCUUGAAAAUAAAGUAGAAAAAAGUGUUGGCGCAGGAAGUGGAGUUAGCAAAAACAAAACGAUACUCAGUGCCUCUACGACAGAACGUUGACGUCGGUGUAACCGCGACGGUUCCUAACGAAAUCGAACGACUUUUACAAAAGUGUAUAAACAUUUAUGAAACAAAUAUUGUGCAAGCUACAGCUAGAAGAGUUGCCUCCAAUUCAUGAAAAAUAACUUCAAACUCCACUGGCAACACCCUUUGUACUAUACUCACCAUGCUCAGCAGUUCGUAAGCUGCCAAUUAGGCAACAUUUCAACAUAGCAGAUGUCAAAUUGAAUUACUAAAGGUAAACAAAAGGAAAAACGAAAACUUUGCAAGAUUGUGAAAAUGGUUAUCAGCAGACCGCAGGACACUGAACGGGCUGAGUGAUUGCAAGUCAAAUGCUAAGCCACGACAGCAGAGGACCUGUGUGGCUGUGUGGUGAAUUAGAGCGCACUAAUUUGACAGCAAGUGGUAGAAAAAUAAGUGAGAGAGUGCCAGUAUUUUUCAAGAGAGGAUAGAGUGAGCGCAACUGCAGCAAGGCUCGCUACUGCUGACUUUUGCUGCCUGACAAGCCUGGCAAACUACCAGUCAUAGACAGAAGUGAGCAGCACAGCGUAGGUAGCUGUCCAACGAAUAUAAAAGCGGAUGAAAAUUUCGAACGAUGUGACGCGAAAAAAAAUCAUUACUUUAUAAAGUGUUUGCAAAAAGAAAGAAAUUAUCAAAAUUUAAAGUGAAUAGGAAAUUUGUGAACGAAAAAGUUGAACGCGAUGAAAAAAUCUAUGCAGAACUCAAAUAACUGGCUGCGCUAAGCGUUGUUGGCGAAGUCGCAACGAAAAAAAAUUUUUGGGUGUGAAAACGAAAGUGAAAAUUUAGCACAGAAACAAGAAACGAGUGCGCGCGUACGAGGUGGAGACGGCGAAAGCGGCAGUGCGGUUGGCGGUGAGUCCUCCCCUGUGACGACGGCAGGCGAUUGCAGCAAGGAGCGCACAGUGACGCUAACAGCGCGGCGUGGAACGUAUGGAACGUAUCGCAAGCGUUGUUUAGCUAGCAGCAAGGAUGCUGUGCAGCGCAAACGGCAGCUAAGAAGACCUGAACAACAACAACAACAACAGAGAAAACUAGGAAAAUGUGCGCAGCGUUGACGUUGACGCUGACUGCGACACUCACUGAGCCCCAACAACCGUGUUAGAUUUGCAUGUAUGUAUGUGCAGAGGAACUUGGCUCAAAAAAUAUACAUACAUAUAUACAUCACAUAAACACUUUCACGAAAAUCAAACCGACAAAAAGUCUUGACGACAACAUACUUCAAAUUCCUCACAUAUUUACAUUCGUGCUGUACGUACGCAGGUGCGUGCGUUCGUGUGCGCCGAGAUUUUGUGUGUCACGUGAAUAGCUUUGCAGCGCCUAAAUUUAUGCUAUAAAUAGUUUACGUGCACCCAAAGUCCAAAAAAAAACUCCCAAAAGCACGUAUGUAGGGGCGAACGCCGUUUAGCGCCUGUAAAUAUGCUACAUUUGGCAAUUUGGUGUGAAAGCAAAGCCAAAGCGAAUGAAAAACAGCUGAGUGGCUGAGCCAACGACGGCAGGUUAACGCCUAAAAGUGUGCUAAACUAAGGGCAGACGCUGACUGUGUGUGUGUAUAUGUAUAUGCGUGCAAGCGGCCAAAAGUAUGCAAUGUAUUAUGUAAAACGGAAAGUGAAGAAAUUUUGGGCAAGGCAAGCAGACGACGCGAAGGCUGUGACUUUUUAAAAAUUCGAGUGCGAAAAUAUUAAAAAAAGAAUAUUUUCAUUAAACAUAGAAAUUUGGAAAAUUUUCUAGCGCGUUAAAGUAUGCUACGCUAUAGAUAGGUAUGAAAGUUUGCGCAACACAUAGAAGAGAAUAUUUUAGUGCAGUAAAAGUUUUGUCUGAAGUUGAGCAGCUGAUACUGUAAUGCCCCUAAAAGUAUGCUAGAUUUCUUAGAAUCUGUGGAAAGCGCAAAAUAAGCAAAAACAACUGUGAAGAGCGCGAUUAAAUAUAUUAGCAAUAGCUGUUGAAAAUAUGCUAAACUAAAAAAAAAAUUUAAGCAGCGAUGUAUUGAAAUUGAAUCAACAUCGCCUAAAAAGGUGCAGCACUCAGCGCAGUAGUGUGAAAAAUUGUGCACCAUAAGGCAAAAUUUGUGCCCAAAAAUGUGCAAAAAUUCACUUAAACUUGCAACAUAACGAAUUGCUUGUAACAAAAGAAGCUAAAAAAAAGUGUAUACACAUACCCACACGCUUUAGCGCCCAAUAGUCUGCUACGAUUUAAGCAGCAGCAGCAGCAAGUAAGAAUAAAGCAAGAGAGCGUGUAAAAAUGCUAGCCAAAAUAUAAA